ACACAGUUGGGAAUCUGCCCAUCACCACGGAAUAACUAUUUCAAAUAAAAGCUAAUACCGUAUAUUCUCUGCCGAGGAAAGAUUUAUCGCUGACGGAUGAGCCCGCGUCAAAUUACGUAGUUGGUGAGGUAAUGGCUCACCACGCCGUACGAUCUGUACGCUGGCCUGACAGGAUGAUCCGCCACCCUGGGACAGAAACACGGACCAGACUCCUACCGGAGGUCCCCGUGGGGAAUAUUGGAC
RNAcentral lists this ribosomal RNA (243 nucleotides) under Rickettsia massiliae. RNAcentral describes it as "partial 16S ribosomal RNA". It matches the Rfam family "Bacterial small subunit ribosomal RNA", at positions 113 to 369 of the family's 1533-position model. The record is from RNAcentral. Lineage: Bacteria; Pseudomonadati; Pseudomonadota; Alphaproteobacteria; Rickettsiales; Rickettsiaceae.